Molecule: long non-coding RNA, 17133 nt
Filed under: Capsicum annuum
Lineage: Eukaryota; Viridiplantae; Streptophyta; Magnoliopsida; Solanales; Solanaceae
Description: long non-coding RNA (CANN_LNC004713)
Source: RNAcentral
AGGUGGAAAAGGAUCUUUGCUGUGUAUGAUUAAGCUCAUCUUAUGAUUGGUAUUCUUCGUUCUUUCUGGAGUUGCCGAGUCCAGGACUUACUUUGGUUUGUAUAACUGAUGGAUACUACAGGGCCUGUCUGGACUAGUGAUUGGUGAAUUCUCAUUCUAGAGGCUUGUGGACGAUUAUUGUUGUGGGUCAGGUAGUCGGUUAUAGUCCAAUUGUCCCUAUGUUAUACUUUUGUUAUAUUUGUGUUAUCUUCAUUAUGCUUUUUUCUUUUAAAAUUCAACUUGGCUUAGAUAGUCCACUAAUGUUAUUUGGAUGUAUUUCGAUUGAAUGAUUAAGUGUAGUAUAAGGUGUUAGUCGCACCUCUAUGGUUUUGGGGUGUGACAUAUGCUUACUAGUACUUGUUGAUGUACUGGUGCUACCUGUACUCUUCUUUUUGUUGAGUGUAUCACAUUUUCCAAUGGUUGACACAUAACCUCAGCUCUAGCUAGCAUCCAGACUUGAUUAAGAGGGUGAGCACCAUGUUUGGCCAAACUUCAGAUCUUCUAUGAUGUUAUGUCUUUUGAUUCAGGACUAAGACAAUUUCCUUUUUUAUAUGUUUGGGUAUGUCUAUUUCUUUUAGACUUAAUUGUUCUUUUUUUAUGUUCUUGUAUGGUUACUUUAAGUCUUGGGGAUUAUAAAAAGUAAAGGUUUCCGCACUCUAUUUAUUUUUAUGGAUGAAGACAUUGUUGACUAAGAUGUUAAUUGAUUGAAUCAUUUCCUUUUUAACUAUUUAAAAGGAUAAACUGAUAUUUUGAUGAUAGUGAGAGUAGCACCUAAUUGAGUAAGAAUGAGAGUAGUAUGGUUCUCUUACCAUAGGUUAGAGAAGGUGUCAAUCAUAAUCAAUUAGGUCAUGUCAGAGAUGGUAUCAAAACACUAGGUUCAUUGAUUUUGUCGUACAAGAACAAGUCUAGUAGAGUCCUACAAAAUAGUACAAAGACAUUUAUACUUUUCUUAGGGAGGCUAUAGGACUUUAGGAAUCACCUAUUUUCUUUUCUUCUUUAGUGCUAUAACUUGAUUCCAAUUGGUAUUUGGUGAUCUAUGUUGGUAUCUAAUACUUUCAUUCUUCUUUAUAUAUGGUUAAUACUAGUUUUAAUAGAAAAAAAAUAGUAGCACCUCAGGCGACACCUGCAGCCACUGCUGAGGCAGCAAUCUAGGGUAGGCCUCCAGCUAGAGGCAUAGUAAGAAGAGGAGAACGGUGAGGAACUCUCAUUAGGGGUGAUCAUAGACAAUUAGGGGUGAUCAUAGACAGUUGGGAGAUCAACAAGGAAGUGAUCACCAUCCUCUCCCCUACCACAAGAUUCCCUAUACCACGUUUAGAAUAAGAGGAGGUGGUUAAGGAAGAAAAUAUGAUAGAUUUAGAUAAUAUGGUACCAGUACAGAAUAGUGCAGCUCAGAUGCCUUUGUCUGCAUAGGUGAUUUAACAGGUGUUGGGAUUCUUAGGUAGCUUGCUCAGCACUAGUUACACUUAGUUGUUUUGACCAUCACACCCAUAGCCUUGCAAUAUACCUCUGUUGUAGCACCAAGGAUAGAUGUAGGUUCUAAAACAAGUGCCUAUCCCUAAUAGAUACUUGGAACGAUAAUGAUUGAUGAUAAGCAUAGACUAUUUUACAAGUUCAUGAAGUGAAACCCUUAGUAUUCUAAGGUAUAGAGCUUGAGGAUGUAUUUGAGCUUCUAAUAAAUUUUCAUAAAUAUCUACACAAGAUAGGAAUUUUUGAGUGUUAUGAUUUAGAGUUUAUUUCUUUUCUGCUAUAGAGGUGGAGGUCAUGUGUAGAGUGCAGAGCUACCUUACCUUCACUUACUUGGGCUCAGUUUUAUAAUAUAUUCCUUGAGAAAUAUGUUCCUCACACUUUUUGUUACCAGAAAAAAGAUGAGUUUUUGAGGUUAGACCAAGUUAACAUAUCUGUGGAAGCCUAAGAGGCCAAGUUCAUUCCUUAUCUCAUUAUGCCCUAUAGUUGAUUAUCUCAAAAGAGAAGAAUAUCAGGUAUUUUAUGAAAGGUCUAAACUUAGGGAUUCAGCAGGCUACUUUAUCUACACUAUGUAUGGUAAGUCCUUAAAAGAUGUUGUUGAAUUUGCUAAGAAGUCUAAAGCACUUAAAAAAUAGCACGAGGUAAAAAAAAGAUUAUAAGAAGGCUCGAACCCCGGGCUAAUUUAGUGGUACUUUCUAAAAGGGGUUUGGUUCUCCUAAGUCCUACCAUUCGUCUAUGCCAAUAUCAGUAGGGGGCCAAUUUGGGUCUGUUAUUACGCUUUUUGAGCCGGUAGCUAGACACCUUUUUCUUUUUUUCAUUUCAUAGGCCUAUUUAGGAGCCCAAAAUGCUUGAAUAUAGAGGUAUAGGACAUGUAAAGAGAAAUUUCCCUAAUUUCUUAUUUGCAUGCCAGUUAAUAUUGUAACUAGUUUCUACUACUCUAAUUGAGGUAAGUCAAGGUGGUGGAGAAACUAUAUGGGUUGUCUACAAGGAGCGCAGUAGCCAAGAUAUGAGUUGUAACCAAGACAAUCGAAGAAGAGAACAAGUAGGUAGAAAUGGAGCAUAGGGAAGUAGAGGUGGUAGUCAGGGUGGUAAUAAGGAUGAUCUUUAUAUAGUAGUAGCUCGUCCUAAGGAAAAAGGAUUUGAUACAGUGAUUACAAGUACUAUUCUCGUUUAUGAUCGUAUGGCUUUUGCAUUGUUUGAUCCUGGUUCCACAUUUUCUUAUAUAUAUGUAUACAUUGGUUGGUAUGUCUGUAUGUGUUGAUCAGAUAUAUUGUACAUGUUCUGUGAUGUUCAUAGGGCAUAAGACCCUGGCUGACUUGGUUAAUUUAGACGUGAAGGAGUUUUAUGUUCUCUUGGGGCUAAGUUGGUUGUCCUCGUAUUAUGUCAUUCUUGACUAUUUUGUCAAAACUGUUACUAUAGCAAUGCCCAAAUGAUAAAAGUUAGAAUUGGGGGAGGGGGUACUUUUAGUCCUAUUUCCAUAAGGGUAGAGUUUAAAAUUUGUGACCAGAAACUAUUAAGAGUCGGGGUAGGGAAUUUUUAGCCCAUCUUCGAGAGGAUAAAUCUGCAGCCCCUCCUAUAGUGUCUGUUCCAAUGGUGUGUGAUUUCUUAUAAAUGUUUUUAGAUAAUCUUUUGAGCAUGCCUCUUGAUCGAGAAGUUGACUUUUGUAUAGACUUAAAGCUGGGGACUAGACCUAUUUUUAUUCCUAUAUAUCAUAUGGCACCUACUGUGUUAAGAGAGUUAAAAUCCCAGUUGCAAGAGUUGUUAGAAAAGGGCUUCAUUAGCCCAAGUGCCUCUCCUUGGGUUGUGCUAAUAUUGUUUGUCAAAAAAAAUAUAGUAGUACAAGGAUGUGCAUAGUCUACCGCCAGUUGAAUAAGGUGACCACUUGUAACAAAUAUACCUUGCCCAGAAUAGAUGACUUGUUUGGCCAGUUACAAGGAGUUCUAGUGUUAUCUAAGAUUGAUUUUGCGGUCGGGUUAUCAUCAACUAAAAAUUAGGGAAGAGGACAUACCGAAGACUUCUUUCCAAACUCAUUAUAGGCACUAGGAAUUUUCAGUUAUAUCCUUUGGUUUGACCACUCGAGAUGCUUUCAUGGGUUUGAUGAAUGGAGAGUUUAAAUCCUUUUUGGAUUAUUUGUCAUAUGUUUAUUUAUGAUAUACUUAUUAAUCUAAAAGUGAUAAAGGGUAUGAUGCUCAUUUAUGUACUACAUUGUAAUUGUUAAAGGAGAAACAAUUGUGUGCUAAAACUCUAAUUGCGAAUUCUAGAUUUCUUUAGUAUCCUUCUUGGGGCACAUGGUUUCUAAAUAUGAGGCCAUCGUAGAACCGUAAAAAUUUAAGGCUAUUAAGAAUUAGGCUAGACUAAUGAAUGUGAUAGAAAUUUGUAGUUUUGUGGGGUAGGUCAGUUACUACCCGGUUUGUUAAAGGGUUUGGUGCCAUUGCUCCACACCUAACCUAUCUUACUCAGAGAAAAGCUUCUUUUGAAUGGGAUAAGUAUGAGGAGAGCUUUCAAAAUCUCAAAAUUGUAUUGACUUCGGCCACAGUAUUGACCUGACUACAAUUCGAGUAAGGAUUUUAUUGUAUUUUGUGAUGCCUUUUGUUUGGGUUUAGGUGUUGAGUUGAUGCAGGAAUUGAAUGCAAUUGCUUAUGCUUCAAGACAACUGAUGCAUUAUGAGAAGAACUACCCCAUGCAUGAGUUAAAGCUAUUAGCUAUAGUGUUUGCAUUAAAGAUUUGGUGACACUAUCUUUAUGGGGUGAAGUGAGAGGUGUUCGCCAAUCAACACAGUUUGCAGCACAAGUUCACUUAGAAAGACCUAAAUCUAAGACAAAGAAGAUGGAUGGAGUUGAUUAAAGAUUUUGAUAUAUCAAUUUUGUAUCACCUGGGUAACGCCAAUAUGGUGGUGGAUGAACUAAAUCAAAAACCAGUGAGAAUGGUGAGCCUAGCAUUUCUAGAGGUAUCAAGGCACCCAUUGGCGAGAGUGGUAUGGUCCUUAGAUAACGAUUUUCAGAGAUUGCAAGAAACUAGUGAAAGCAAGGUGAUGGAAAAAGUAGAUUUUAGGUCCACUUUCUAUAUUAAAAUUAAGAGAUGACAAUUUAAGGAUAAGAAAGUGAACAAUCUAAGGGAAAAAGUAUUACAAGGAAAGGCGAAAGAGGCCAUUCUAGAUGACAAAAAAGUCAUAAGAAUUAGAGGUCGGUUGUGUGUGCCUAAGGUGGGUAACUAGAUUUCUACCAUUUUGGCUGAGGAUUAUAAUACCAAGUACCAUACAUCACAAUGCCAAAAAGAUGUAUACAGACUUGAGGCAACAUUAUUGGUGUAGAAAAAUGAAGCGUGACAUCAUAGAUUUUGUGGUGAAGUAUUAAAAUUGACAACAAUUCAAAUAUGAACAUAAAAAACUUGGUGGUACUUUUUAGUGUAUGCCUAUUUUAGAGUGGAAGUAGAAAUGAAUAACGAUGGACAUUGUUAUUGUCCUUCCAAAAUCCUUAAGGAAAUGCUACACUGUUCGAUCAUUAUGGACCGUUUUACUAAGUCAUCUUAUUUUAUUCUAGUAAGGGUUGAUUAUAAUGCAACUAAGUUGGCCAGAACUUAUACGAAGAAAAUUGAAAGAUUGCAUAGGGUACUAGUUUCAAUUGUGUCUGACAAGGGUAUUCUAUUUACAUUUAAUUUUUGGGAAAGGUUUUAGUCUGAGUUGAGGUCUAGAUUGGACCUGAGCAUAACUUUCCACCCAUGAACAGAUGGUAAAUCUGAGAGGGACUAUUCAAGUGCUUAAGGAUAUGCUCUAGGAUUGUACUAUGGACCUUGGGGGUCAGUAGGAUGAAUACUUAUAAUUGUAUGAAUUUGCCUACAACAAUAACUACCGCUCUAGUAUUGACAUGAAUCCUUUUGAGGCCUUAUGUGCUAGACGAUAUAGAUCCCCAAUUGGGUGGUUUGACACAUUUAUGUGAGACCUAGGGCACUAAUAUGCUCAAGGACUCUAUGGAAAAGUGGGAUUCAUAUAGGAGAAGCUCAUAGCGUGUCAUGACCCAAAUUAGGGACUGGCUGUGACGGGUAUCUCAAGUCUAUCGGGGAAUGGAGACCACCCCUUUUCACCCAACCAAACAACAUUAUACCCACCAUGUCGGAAGAAUUCCGAACAUAUAUCAAGAUAGCACAAGAUAAGAUUUAAAGAAUGAAGGGUAUGUAUAUAAUCUCUAACCAUUGAAUGGCCAAAAUAAUUGACCAACAUCACCCAAUUCAACAGUAAUCCAGCAAAGCCUUCUAACACAAGAACCAAAGCCAAUCUUGGUUGGGAUAUGUUCCCGACUCUGUCAAAUGACAAUAAAAAUGAUAAUCUUAAUGAUAAUGAAAACUCUUAAUUCUAAUCUAUGAUAAUAACUAAUGAAAUGUCCAAGUCUUUCGGGGAAUGAAAGAUCACCACUUCACCAUAACAAACCGACGAACCGAGCUAAUUCACUAAACUCUGCACAAGAAAAGUAGAGGUAUCUCCGGUACCAACAUUGUGUGGGGAUACAGUAUCUGGAGAUGGUUAGUGGGGUGAGAACUAGCAUGUAACUCAGGGAUAAGGAUAACAUACUGCCGUGAUCAAGAAUUCAAAAUCAUUCAAAAAACCAAUGCACAUGAUCAAAUGCAUACACACACACAUACACAUACAUACAUAUAUAUAUAUAUAUCAUAUGUCGGGAUAGGGAAACAAGGCUUAGCAUGCAUUUUAAAACUUUAUCCUGGAUUGUGUAGAUAAAUCAUCAUAACAUAACAAGACACCCACGAGCUAUAGGGCCUAGCUCUUCCCUAGCUGGUAGGUCCCCCGUGUGUGUAGACACAUGAACCAGAGGGUAUACAUAUACACUAUGGGGGACUUGAAUCUCCCGACAUAUCAAGGUAAAAAAAACACCAAAUCAUGUAAUAUAAUGUGUGGUACUUGAACCUUUCAAUCAUAUGAUAACAAUAGCAAUACGUGGGACUCAAACCAACCGGUCAUUUAGACUCCCAUGCCGGCAAUCACGAUUUAGGUAUCAGCCCCUUGGGACCUCUACUUUCAUGACUCAGCAACACAACCCUCAUUAAAGCCCAAUUAAAACAAUUAUCACACAUUCCUCUUCAUUGAACUACGAUAAAAAAUUUAGGCAUACAUUGUUGGUAUGUCAUACCAACUACUCUUACAAGGUAACAUCAACAUACGACACCAAUUACCAUAACUUGGGAGUACUCGCAAUCCCCUUUGGUUCAAUUAUACAUUAGCUUGGAGAAUUAGACAACCCCAUAAGGUUCAAUUAAAAAUCAUUAUGCUUCAUUAACCUUUCACAUUAUGCAAUAAUUCAAGAGUAGUUCAAUGUGCAUAUUUUUCAUAUUCAAAAUCAAUUCCACAAUAGGGGGUUUAGGUCAGGACAUAACGACUUCAAAAGUCACAAGUUUUGGGAAAUCACAAUCCCUUAAUUAUUCACCAUUCCUAUGCACCAAUGUGAUUUUAAACCCACCAUUAAAACAUAAAAAAUGUAGGGACAAACAUGAAACAACACAUAAAAGUCAAUUAUUCAAAAAUGCUCAACCCAUGUUUUCAAAACCAACAUCAAUACUGUAUAAAAACACUUUAAAACAUAUGUUUUUAACAAAUUAACAACUAGGGAAGAUUAAUAUGCCUGAAAUAUAAAGUAUCACAGAAAGAAUUCAACCCUUGAUCCCUUGGAUGACCUACUUCUUGGAAACCAUAAGUAUGGCUGCUUGAGAGACUUGAGAGAGUAUUAAAAGUGUUUGAGUAUGUUAUGAAUGAUAAAUAACCCCUCUUAAGUGCCUUAUGAACAUGGGGUUUUAAUUAUGUAAGGAGGUAAUUAUCCAAAGUUCCCUCAAUUAAAAACUAAAAUAUAAUCAUUAGUGACUACAGGUCACUAUACGACUCAUAGGAACUCAUUAAAACUCUUCACCAGGAAUCAUAGCCAAAACAGUUUCCAUGGCACCCACUGACUGUCGACCCUAUGAAUCAAAUGCUACAACUCAUAAUAAGACCUUAUGACUUGUAGGGUCUAGUCGUAGUCAACACAGAACCCAUUUGGGGUAAACACUGGACAUCCUAUAAUUUACAUCCAAUGACUUGUAAUGAGUCCUUAUGGAUCUUUGUGAGCCACUCAUACUCAGAGCAGAACUUGGUCUAAUGACUCAUCAAAACUCCCGUCACUUGUCAGGGAAGUUGUAGUUAGGACAGUGAGGAUAAAAUUUCAAAAAAUUUCAAGGACCAAAAAUCGGGGUGUUAUAUAUUUCCCUUUUUGGAUCAUUCAUCCUCGAUUGAUAGGAAAAUAUAUUUAUUAGCAUGAUUUGACUUCAGACACAAUCACACUUAUCUUUAACAAAGAUAGAAAAUAAAUAUGUUAAGGAACACACUUACCUCAAGCAUGAUUUGUCAAAAUAAGGAACAAGAUCUGAUACUUGGACUGUAUGUACUCCUUGGCUUCCUAAGUAGCUUCUUCCAUCUUUUCAUUCCUCCAACGAACCUUUACUAAAGCCACAUCCUUGGUCAAUAACCGAUGGAAUUUCAAAUCCAAAAUUUUACUCAGAACUUCCUUAUAGGAUAAGGAAUCCAAAACACCCACCUCCUCCAAGGGAAUAAUCGUUGAAGGAUCGCUAACACACUUUUUCAACAUCAACAUGAAACACCAAAUGAAUGGAGCUGAAACUAGAAGGAAACUCUAACUCAUAUGCAAUACUACCAACCCUCUUCAAAACCAAGUACGGACAAAUAUAAUGGGGACUAAGUUUCCACUUUUUACAAAAUUGCAUCACUUUCUUCAUGGGAGACACCUUAAAUAACACUCAAUAACCCACACUGAACUCCAAUUCUCUUUGCCUCAUAUUUACGUAGGGCUUUUGGCAACUUUGGGGGGCCUUAAGUCUAUCCUGAAUCACCUUCACCUUCUCCAUGGCUUGGUGAACCAAAUCAGGACCAAAUAACUUAUUUUUACAACCUCAAACCAUUUAAUAAGAGAACUAUACCUCCUACCAUAUAAGGCCUCAAACGUGGCCAUAGCAAUACGAUAGUGAUAAUUGUUGUUAUAGGGAAACUCUAUAAGAGGCUACUGGUUUACCCAACUUCCACCAAAAUAACAUACACAAGCUCGACACAUAUCUUUUAAGAACUAAAUUGUCAUUUUUGGUUGCCCAUCUAUCUAUAGGUGGAAAGUGGUACUACGGGUUACCUUUGUCCCCAAACCUACUGGAACAAUCUCCAAAAGUGAGAUGAGAACUGAGUAUCCAAAUCGGGUAACAUGGAAACUGGAGUACCAUGCAACUUCAUGAUCUCUUCAAUGAAUAGUUUGUCAUAAUUCUCUGGAGAGAAAUUAGUCCUCACUAGCAAGAAGUGAGAAGACUUAGUUAUCCUAUCCAUGAUGAACCAAAUUAAAUCAAAAUAUUGGCGAUACUGUGAAAGAUCAGUAAUAAAAUCCAUAUUAAUUAUCUUUCAUUUCCACUCUGACAGCUCAAUCUCCUAAGUCAACCCAUCGGGCCUUAAGUGCUCAUUCUUCACUUUCUGGCACACCAUGCACUUAGCCAUAAAAUUGGCCACAUCCCUCUUUAUGUUACUCAACCAAUAAAUCUCUUUAAGAUAAUGAUACAUUAUUGUUGAACCAGGAUAAAUAGUAUAAUAUGACUCAUGAGCUUCAACCAAAAUUCUUCCUCGUACCCCAUCAAUAUCGAGAACACAUAAUCUACCUUGGUACCUAAAGAUAAAAUCACCACUAAUCUCAAAAACCAUUACUUUCUUCCUACCUAAAUUAUUCUUGAUUUAUAUAAGCAUAGGGUUAACACUUCUCCUUUACUGCAACACCAACAGAUGACUUUACCACCUCUUAAAUAGUCUGAAACACCUGAGUUCUAUCCUUUGCAAUUUUCUUAAGUCUUGAGAUUACUAAUCAUUAUACGACUCACCAUACUAGUUGUAUGGUAUGGGUAUGGGUUAGGUGACCCAACUAUAAGGGGUCUACUUUGUUAGGUGACCCAACUGUAAGGGAUUUAAUAUCUAGCGGUUAGGUUUCUAUUAUGGUUACGUGUUGGUGGCGAUGAGUCGUAUGUUCAUGAUAUAAGAAGUAUAGUGCCCAACCAUAUAUUAUCUAGUGUCUAGCCUAGAUAUCCUACUUAGGAUAUUGCAGGAUAUUAGUUGUAUAGUGAUAGUACGAGUUAGGCCUAUGGAGUCGUACAUUGGAUAGAAUGUAUUGUCCAACUUUAUUAUCAAGUUACGAGUAAAGGGUACCACUCGCAUGGUAUGGAUAUGAGUUGAAGGGUUUGAUCGUACCCUCCUAUGUUAUUUUUAUAGCUUUUAAGCUAAGCGUAUUUUAGACAUUUCCCACCCAAAUACCAUAAGACCCCACAUCUUAUAACACUAUUUGGUCCCUCAUUCUACACUUUGGAAGAUCAAAACACUCUUUAAACUCUCUCAAAUCUCUCUCAAGCUCUUGGGUCAAGAAAAGGAUAGGUUUUUCUAAAUUCAAUCGAUUUGGGGCUUUCAAGAGGGUUUCUCUCCAUAUUUCUUGGUGUAUAAGCCAUGUUAUUCCUCCCUCAUUGUUAUUUCAACUAAAAGCAUGCUUCAAUAAAUGACUUUUAUGGCAUUAUUAUGGUAUUGUUUUGGAUUUUGAAGUAUAAGUUAGGAGAUUUGGUUGUUCUUGGUUGGAUAGUGUUUUUCCAUGUUUUACUUAUGCUUUUUUAUGUUAUAAUUGUUAUUUGAACAUAUAGUUGCAUGGGAUUUGUGAAUUGAUACUUGGUUUGAGCUUUGGAAACUAUAUGCCCUCAACAUGUUUGUAAAAAUGGCAAUGAGAAUGCUUUUAUCACAUAGUUUUACUCUUAUUGAAAUCUUUGCAUUGCAUAAAAGGUAAUGGAACUUAAAUUGGUUCAUAAAAGGUAAUGGAACUUAAAUUGGUUCAAAUGAUUUUAAAUGGAUUAGAAAGACCUUGGUGGCCAUGGUAUUGGUUUAAAUGAAAACUUUGGAGUCAAAUUGGUUUAAUGGCUUUGGAUGGCAUAAAUGGAUAGACUUGUAAGCUCUAAUUUUGGUAUGAUGAUAACAAUGGUUACUACCUAAUUAAAAGGACUUCUAAGUAAUUGGUUGGUUGUGUGUGAAUAGUUUCAAUAGGGGCUUAAGGGGGGAUGUGUGUCCUUUUUUAAAUAUCUUUCAUUUGAUUUUAUUAAAUCUUAUUAUAUGUUUAGAAUUUAUUCAACAUAGGGUGCAAGGAUGUUAUGGUAGGGUAUUGGGGUCAGUCUCCCAUCCGGAUUGAACUUAAGAUGACCGACACAAAUAGGCCCUGGUUUGGUCGUGUUAGACUGAUAUCAUAGCACUAGAUUUAUGAUCAAUUGGGAGUCUAUAAAGCCAUGUCGUGUAGAGUUUCUUUCAAGGGUGUGUAGUGCACCACACUUAUAAGGGAGAGGCAAUGAUGCAUUUUAGAAUAUUUCUCUUUCUUGUGUCUAUUUUUUAGUUGUAGAGUCUAAGGUCCUAAAUUCUCCUCUAAUUUUUAUUUGUUCACUUUUCAGAUCAUGCUUCUUUGACAAUCUAAAGAUCACGAAAACUCCUCUAUCCCACUCAAGGAUAAUGUUGAUGAGACACGUUCUACCUAUGGGAUCCAGACCCGGUCUAGGGUCCAGUUCAUGAUUCCCAUCUUGGAGUUCCACGAGAUCCCUUCAGUCCUCCUUGAGCUCCUCAGCCAAUGUAACAAAUGCUGAGUUUUUUCAGUCUAUCCAUAUGUUAACUGCGUUGGUAGCUUCUCAGGAUGAGCAACAUUUAUACUAUCUUCGGAGGCCACAAUAGUUGGCAGUUCAUAAGGUUAAACUCACUGACCUAUAGGUGUUAGGGUGGAAGAGGAUCCUUAAGGUUUCUUGGAUAAAAUGGAAAAAAUCUUUUGAGUUAUGCAUGCAAAAAAUAUUGAGGGCGUGGAUUUUGCCACUUUCCAGCUAAAAGAUGUGGUAUACAAGUGGUACAAGAAAUGGGAUCAGUCAAGGGGUGAUGAGGCUGAUUCAGACCUACAGGAGGAUUUUUCUAAUAUUUUUCUAAACCGCUUCUUUGUUUAGGAUUUACGGGAAGCAAAGCCGAAAAAGUUUGUUGAUCUAAACCAAGGAAAGAUAUCAGUCAAGGAGUAUGCAUUAAAGUUCCACUAGUUAUCUCGGUAUACUCCAGAGAUGGUUUAUAUCAUGAGAGCUAGAAUAAGAAAGUUUGCUUUUGGGUUGUUUAGAGAUAUUGGAGAGUAAGGAUGCCUUGUUGAUCAAGGAAAUAUAUAUCUCUAGGUUGGUUGUGUAAAUGCAAUAGGUGGAGAAAGAGAAGAAGAAGCAAAUUAAGAUAGGUUAGUGGUAGGGCAACAAAUUUUGGUUCUAUGAGUAGGGUGGUGGCUGACAGUAGAGUGACAGGGAUGGUGAAAAGUAGCCCAAAAAGAAGUGGGGAAACUCUGGUUUUACUCAGUGGCUAAUGCCCUUUCCCCAAGCCAUUAAGGGGAAGGCAUUUCUAAGAUGGCGAUAACUUCAUAGCAUAGGGUGCCCAAUCUAAGGCUAGUAGGGCCUAGUCAGCUCUAUAAUAACCUUCCUGCAGGUUCUGUGGUAGAUUGCAUCAGGGUUAUUGUGAAGAAGGAAGGGUAAGUGCUUUAGCUGUUGUCAGCUAGGGCAUAUAAUUAAGAACUGUCCAUUGGACAAGGUUGCUUCAAGGACAAACAAGGUUCCAAUUACUUCACCAUUAGCUCCGGUACCAAAGGGUGCACUAUCUAGUUCUGGCACUAGUCAAAACUGUCUUUAUGCUCUCACUACCCGAUAGGAGUACGAGGCAUCACUUGAUAUUGUAACUAGUAUAUUAAAAUUCUUUUCCCAUGAUGUGUACUAUUUACUUGAUUUGGGGUCCACUCUCUCUUAUGUGACCCCAUUGUGGCUGUGUAUUUUGGUUUUGGUCCGAAGUGUGUUUCAGAUCCUUUUUUUGUUUCCACCUUGGUGGGUGGUUAUGUGGUGGCUAGUAGAGUCCAUAGGGGCUAUGUAGUAUCUGUUGGUAUCAAAGACACUGUGGGGGACCUAAUUGAAUUAGAUAUGAUGGAUUUCAAUGUCAUAUUGGGGAUGGAUUGGUUGCACUCGUGCUAUGCUUUUGUAGACUGUUAGACCCAUAAGGUCAUUUUUAAAUUCCCAAAUGAACCAGUUAUUGAGUGGGAGGGUAUUUACUAGCUCCUAUGGAGAAGUUCAUAUCUUAUCUUAGAUCUUGGAGAUUAAUCUCCAAAAGGUGUCUCUUUAAUCUAAUUAAUCUCUAAAGGGUGUAUCUAUCUCUAGUACAAGUUAAAGAUUCUAACUCGGAGGUUCCUUUUGUGCAUUCCAUCCCUGUGGUAAAUGAAUUUCCUGAGGUCUUUAUUGAUGACCUUCCUGGUGUUCCUCCUAAUAGGGAGAUUGAGUUUGGGAUUGAUCUUGUUUUGGAAACUCGUUCAAUUUCUAUUCCUCCAUAUAUAAUGGCUCCAGUUGAGUUCAAAGAGCUUAAGGAGUAGCUAAAGUAUCUUUUAGAAAAGGGUUUCAUCCAUCCUAGUGUGCUUUCUGGGGUGCACUAGUGUUAUUCGUGCAUAAGAUGGAUGGUUUCCUUCGGAUAUGUAUUGAUUAUUCAUAGUUGAUCAAGGUAACGAUAAAGAAUAAGUAUCCUCUUCCAAGGAUAGAUGAUCUGUUUGAUCAGCUUUAGGGUGCUAAGUUUUUCUCCAAAAUCGAUCUUCGAUCUGAGUAUCAUCAAUUAAAGAUUUGGGAGGUAGAUAUCCUUAAGACUGCCUUUCGUACCCGAUAUGGGUACUUCAAGUUUCUGGUUAUGUCCUUUGGGAUGGCCAAUGCCCUUGCAACAUUCAUGGAUUUAAUAAAUAGGGUUUUCCAGUAGUUUCUAGAUCUGUUUGUCAUUGUUUUUAUAGAUUUCAUUUUGGUGAACUUUAUACAUAAAGUGGAUCAUCUGAAUCACUUCUGCAUUGUAUUGCAGGCCUUAAAAGAGCAACAGUUCCAUGCCAAAUUCUCGAAAUGUGAGUUCUAGUUGAACGUUAGGACAUGUCAUUUCUAGUGAAAAGAUCAUGGUGAAUACAUAGAAAGUUGUAGUGGUGAAGAAGUGGCCUAGAACCACGACUCCAAUUAGCAUUCGAAGCUUCUUGGGUUUAGCGGGUUACGACACGAGGUUUGAAGAGAGUUUUUUUCACUAUAUCUGCCCCGUUAACUAAGUUGACUCAGAAGAAGGUAAUGUUUCUAUGGUUUGAUGCUUGUGAUGGGAGUUUCGAGAAGCUGAAGGAUAAGAUAACUUCAGCUCCAGUGUUGACUUUACCUGAAGGCACUGAUGGGUUUGCGGUCUACUGUGAUGCAUCCCGUGUGGGGCUUAGUUGUGUUCUGAUGCAGCAUAGAAAAGUCAUAGCUUAUACCUCUAAACAGUUGAAGGUGCAUGAGAAGAACUAUCCGACGUAUAACCUAGAACUGUUAGUUGUGGUGUACGCAUUAAAAAUCUAGCAUCACUAUUUGUAUGAGGUGUAUGUGGAUAUCUUUUCUGAUCUUAUGAACCUACAGUAUGUGUUCACUCAGAAAGAGCUUAACCUUAGGUAAAAGAGAUGGCUUGAGCUUCAAAGACUAUGAUAUGAGUCUUUACUACCACCCAGGUAAAGCUAACAUGGUUGGUGAUGCUCUUAACAGGUUAUCCAUGGAGAGUUUAGCUCAUGUGGAUAACAAGAACCAGGAGUUGGUGAAGGAUAUUCACCAUUUAGCUAACCUUUGAGUUCAUCUUUUGGACUUCGAGGAUAGUGGUGUGUUUGUGUAGGAAGUGGCGCGGUUGUCUCUUGGUGCUGAAAUCAAGGAAAAAUAUAUGUUAGAUCCUAUCCUGAUGAGGAUUAAGGGUGAUGUAGGUGGGCAAAAGGUGAUGGCCUUCAAGAUUAGUGGUAAUGGUACUUUGCGGUACCAAAGAAGGUUAUGUGUUCCUGACACUGAUGGCUUGCAAGAGAGGAUCUUGGCUGAUUUUGUUGCCAAGUUCAUAGUGUACCAGCAAGGGAAAAUUGAGCAUAUGAAGACUGAAAGAUUGUAUCAAGAAAUUAAGCUACCUAAAUUGACUUGGGAAGUGAUCAAUAUGGAUUUUUGUACCAGUUUUCCUAGGUCUCGGAAUUAAUUUGAUUUGGUUUAUGUCAUUAUGGAUAGGUUGACAAAUUCGGCUCACUUUUUACCAGUGUGGACUAACUUCUCGACUGAGGAUUAUGCCAUGUUAUACCUCCAAGAGAUUGUGAAGUUGCAUGGGGUACCUGUUUCUUUCAUUUUCGAUCGUGGUUUGCAAUUUUCAUCACAAUUUUGGUGGCUAUUCUAGAAAGGUUUAAGGACCAAGGUAAGUAUGGGUACUUCUUUUAACCCAUAGUCGGAUGGGCAAUUAGAAAUGACUACUCAGAUAUUAGAUGAUAUGUUUUGGGCUUGCAUGAUUGACUAUGGUGGUAGUUAGGUUGAUCACUUAGCUCUUGUAUUACUUUAAACAAUAACUACCACUCUAGCAUUGGGAUGGCUUCAUUUGAGGCGUUGUAUGGUAAAAGGUAUAGGUAUUCUAUUGGGUGGUUUGAGCUUGGUAAAGCGGAUAUGUUUGGCCCUAAUUUGGUUCACCAAGAUAUGGAGAAGGUGAAGGUGAUUUAGGAUAGGCUUAAGGAUACCCAGAGUCACCAAAAGUCCUAUGCAAACGUGAGGCAAAGGGACUUAGAGUUUGAGGUUGUAGAUAAGGUAUUCCUAAAGGUAUCUUCUAUGAACAGAGUGAUAAGGUUUGGGAAGAAGGGGAAGCUUGGUUCCUAGUAUGUUGAUUUGUACUUGAUUUUGAGAACGGUGGGCACUGUUGCACAUGAGUUGGAGUUGCCUUUUAUCUUAAGCUCCAUUCACCCGACAUUCCAUGUAUCUAUGUUGAGAGAGUGUAUUGGUGAUCCAUCGUAGGUUAUUCCUAUUAAGGAUAUUGGUAUUUUGGUUUCCCUAUCUUUUAAGGAGAUUCAAUUUAAAAUCUUGGAUCGUCAGGUUCAUUAGUUACGGAUCAAGGAUGUGGCCUCGGUGAAGGUUCUAUAGAGGAAUCACAAGGUAGAAGAGGCUAUAUAGGAAGCUGAAAAUGACAUAAAGUCCUAGUAUCCAUUCCUAUUUUAUGCUCUAAAAAUUCAUGCGUAAGGUAUGUGCUCUUCAUAACAUCCUUAUUUUCUAACUUAUUUAAAGGAAAGAUUGAUUUCCUUGCAUAUUUGUGUUAUGUCUUUGUUAAAGGUAAAAUGGUAAAUUCCUUAGUGUUAUAUUUUCUAUCUUAAGGGUAAGAGUAGAAACGUUUAGAGGUUUACUCGUUCUUGUACUUCCUUGUUCAAUCAUUCGAGGAUGAAAGAUCCAAGUGGGGGAGAAUUGAAACACCUUGGAUUCUUGCCUUUGCAAAUUUCUCGAGUCUUAAGAUUUCUGAUAAUCAUACGACUCACCAUACUAGUCGUAUGGUAUGAGUACGGGUCAGGUGACCCAACUUGUAGGUAUCCAGUGUUUGGUGGUUGGGUUUCUAUUGUGGUUACGUGAUGGUGGUGACGAGUCAUAUGUUCAUUAUAUGAGAAGUAUAGUACCCAACUGUAUGUUGUCCAGUGUCCAGCCUAAAUGUCCCACUUAGGGUACGACUUAAAGGAUACUAGUCGUAUAGUAAUGGUAUGAGUUAGUCCUAUAGAGUUGUAUGUUGGACAGAAUGUGGUGUCCAAAUUUUUAUCAAGUUACGAGUGGAGGGUACAACUCGUAUGUUGUGGAUACGAGUUGAGGGAUCCAACUGUACCCUCCUGUGUUCUUUUUAAAGCUUUUAAGCUGAGGGUAUUUAUGAUAUUUCUGACCCCAACCUCUUAAAACUCCACGUCUUAUAACACUAUUUGAUCCCUUAUUCUACGGUUUGGAUGAUCAAAACAGUCUCUAAACUCUCUCAAAUCUCUCCCAAGCACUUGGGUCAAGAAAAUGCUAGGUUUUUUCAAGUCAAUCAAUUUAGGGCUUUCAAGAGGGAUUCUCUCCAUAUUCCUUGGUGUCUAUGGCAUGUUACUCCUCCUUCAUUGUUAGUUCAACUAAAACAUGUUUUAAUGAAUGAUUUUCAUGUCAUUAUUGUGGUAUUGUUUUGGGUUUUGAAGUAUAUGUUGGGGGUUUUGGUUGUUUUUGGUUGAUUAGUGUUUUCCUAUGUUUCACUUAUAAUUUUUAUGUUAUAAUUGUGAUUUGAACAUGUGGUUCCAUGGGAAUGGUCAAUUGUACGUGGUUUUGGAUUUGGAAACUAUAUGCCCUCAAUAUAUUUGUUAAAAUGCCAAUGAGAAUGCUUUUAAUACGUAGCUUCACUAUCAUUGAAAUCCUUGCAUUGCAUAAAAGGUAAUGCAACCUAAAUUGGUUCAAAUUAUUUUAAAUUUAUCGGAAAGGCCUUGGUGCCCAUGGUAUUGGUUUAAAAACUUUCGAGUCAAAUUGGUUUAAUGGUUUUGGUAUGGCAUAAAUGGAUAGACUUGCAAGCUCUAGUGUUGGUAUAACGAUACUGACAAGUGGUGAAUUUACCACUUAUUUUCACUCAACAAUCGUGCACGCUACUAUGAACUAAAUGUAUAAAUAAUACGUGUUUGCGAUUAAAUACACUAAUUUCCUUAUUUUUGCAUGCACAUAGAUGAUGAGAUAGAAAGAAGUGGACUUGAGCUAAAUAGAAAUCAAAAGGAG